AUAGCACUUCGUGGUAUAAAACGGAAAAUCCAUUUUUUGUUGCAGUUUUCGGCGAUAAGAGGGUCUGUAAGUCUCGUUUGGUUUCACUUUCGGUUUUACUACUUCCCGGUACAACAACAUGUGGAAUAUAUAAAGUCGUAACAGAGAAUCGGCGCCAAUAUGUAAUUUGGUGUAUUGUUAAGCGAUCGGCUGCAUACAUGAGACUGGAAAAACCCUGCCAUGUAGUUUAUUUAGGUUCCUAGUCGAUGCUACAGUAAGGAAGCGGUGGAUAUAAAGAUGUAGACACAAAGUUACGAAACCUGCUGAAGCAGAAGCAUCUGCUUCAAACGUACAUGUAGGAACCGAAGUUGAUACUGCUACCAACAUAUCUGUACCAGACAACAAUGAAGUGCAUCUACAUGAUCACGAGUAUACAGCACCAAACCCUCAACAUUUAAAAAGCUUCCCUUGAAGACUAUGAUGUUGUAAACUUGCAGUGAGAAAUAUACCUGCUUAAUUAAAGGAAACCAUCCUUGACAAUUGGGAACAUCAUAAUUGAAAGACCCUGGAAAGGGAUCAUGAACACUGUUGGGAGUGUCCAUUCAACUGAAAUAUAAAAGUCAGAAGAAUUGAAGAUUGCAUUGGAUGCAACAGAAGUGACCUAAUAUGACCAAAUUGAUAUGAAUAGCCAGUUUUUCGCUUGCAGUAAUGACAAGAGUCGCCACAAAGAAAAGACCUUAAUGUGUAUUACACCUAAUGCAGCUUAUUUCCAAUCUGUAUGCUGGAUACAAAUCUAAUUUGGCAAUUGUGAACCAUUGUGGCAUUUUAGAGAAGUUGCAAGUUGGUGAUAUAUUCCUGGCGGACAAAGGAUUUUGUAUAUUUGACAAACUUCCAAAUGACAUGACACUUAAUAUCCCAUUCUUUCUUACAAAUAAAUCCUACUUCUCAAAAGAGGAUGCACAACUUUGCUAUAAAAUUUCCAGAUGCAGAAUCCAUGUUGGAUGGGAAAAUGAGAGAAUAAUUUUUUUUUUUUAAAUUCCUUAGCCAUAUUCUAUCAUAGUCAAGAUAUUGAUCUGACAAAAUAUUUCAGAUUUGUGUGGAUCAUGUGAAUUUGCAGGUUCCCCUUUUGAAGGAGAUUCCAGAUAAAUCCUACAAACUUAUUAGAUUAAUUGCAUGUAUAUAUAUACCUUAAAUCUGCACAUACCUGCCACAUUGAAUUUUAAAGUUAAAAGUAAUGAAUACCAUAUAUGCAAUAUAACGUUUCUACAUAUUUAUAUAAAUAUAAAGCCUUUUAUAUUCAUAUGAAUAUAAAGCCCUUUGGAACGUCUCCAUCAGAAUGAAAUAUUCUCGAGAGGAAUGUUAAACAAUAUACAUGUACAAUCAAACAUAAAGCCUUUUGUUCUCAUUCUGAAGGUUUUCAAAUCUGCAUUAUUAAAAAAGAAGUAAAAUCCAUUGUUUUAGUAAAUGCAUGUAAUUGAAUGAUUUUUGUAAAGCUGGACACUGUGUCUAUACAUACAUGUAUUUUGGUUCAUCUAAAAUAAGAAAAACUGUCUAUAAUGUUUAUUCAAUAAAUAUACAUGUAAUUACAUAAUUUUGAUAGAUGCACCACUGAUAUCAUAAUAAAGUAUAUGUACAUGUG
Ostrea edulis (European flat oyster) is the source of this 1618-nucleotide long non-coding RNA. RefSeq lists it as uncharacterized. The record is from RefSeq and is a predicted model, not a curated record. NCBI's taxonomy places the organism in Eukaryota, Metazoa, Mollusca, Bivalvia, Ostreida, Ostreidae. The transcript has 4 exons.